AUUAUUAUUUUAUUUUUUGAGACAGGGUCUCACUCUGUCACCCAGGCUAGAGUACAGUGGCACAAUCAUGGCUCACCACAGCCUCAACCUCCUGGGCUCAGGUGAUUUUCCCACCUCAGCCUCCUGAGUAGCUAGGAUUACUGGCGCCGGCUUAAUUUUUGUAUUUUUUGUAGGGUUGGGGUUUCACUAUGUUGCCCGGCUGGUCUUGAACUCCUGGGCUCAAGUGAUCUGCCCACCUCAGCCUCCAAAAAUGUUAGGAUUACAGGCGUGAGCCACUAUGCUCGGCCAGGGCAUAAUUUGUAAUAAGUAAUUUAAAACAUAACAGAAAAGGCCUAUGAACAACUAUCUCAAUCCCUGUAUUCUCCCCAGAGAUCUUGGAAGGAGACCAAGCCAUCCUGCAGAGAAUAAAGAAGGCUGUGCGGGCAAUCCAUAGCUCCGGCCUUGGCCAUGUGGAGAAUGAAGAGCAGUACCGAGAGGCCG
Molecule: long non-coding RNA, 480 nt
Filed under: Homo sapiens (human)
Lineage: Eukaryota; Metazoa; Chordata; Mammalia; Primates; Hominidae
Description: ArfGAP with SH3 domain, ankyrin repeat and PH domain 3 (ENSG00000282854.3)
Source: RNAcentral